UACGGAGGAGGCAAGCGUUUAUCCGGAAUUAUUGGGCGUAAAGCGUCCGUAGGUGGCUAGUCAAGUCUGCGGUCAAAGACUGGGGCUUAACCCUGGAAAGGCCGUGGAAACUGACGAGCUAGAGUGCAGUAGGGGUAGAGGGAAUUCCCGGUGUAGCGGUGAAAUGCGUAGAGCUCGGGAAGAACAUCGGUGGCGAAAGCGCUCUACUGGACUGCAACUGACACUCAGGGACGAAAGCUAGGGGAGCGAAUGGG
This 254-nucleotide ribosomal RNA is filed under the name uncultured bacterium. RNAcentral's name for it is "partial 16S ribosomal RNA". It matches the Rfam family "Bacterial small subunit ribosomal RNA", at positions 524 to 776 of the family's 1533-position model. The record is from RNAcentral.